Molecule: long non-coding RNA, 581 nt
Organism: Dromiciops gliroides (monito del monte)
Lineage: Eukaryota; Metazoa; Chordata; Mammalia; Microbiotheria; Microbiotheriidae
Exons: 4
Source: RefSeq, a predicted model, not a curated record
CAGUGUUAUAGCAUGCAUCUACUGCAAACCACCCUCCUGUCUUUCAAACGAGAUGAUCAUAGACGAAACAUCACGGAGCUGGAAGGGGGACUUCUAGCGUUGACCCAUGCCUCAAUUUACAGAUGAAGAAACUGAAGCUCAAAGGUUGGAUUACUUGCCCGUGGUCACACAGCAAAUAAAGCAACUGAAGCUCCAAAAGAUCAAAUGACCUGUCCAAGAUCACACUAAACAGGCCCAGGAUUUGAACCCAGGUCAACUGACUCCAGAUCAGAACCCUUCCCAGCCACCUUUGUCAUUGGACCCAAGAUUCUCCUGUCUGGCCUUGAAAACGUGUCCUUUUGAAAUUAUCUCUCCAGUAUCCAGUCAAAGAUCAAAUCAUGUCGAUUUUCCCUUCAAAAUGUCUUCUGUGAGUCUCUUAGAGGCAGCCUGCGCCAAGGAAAAAUACCAUCCUAGAAGAAGUCAGGAAGUAGAGAUGAGGAAGGAGAGCCACUGAAAAGGAAUGGUCCAUCUACAGAGAAAGAACUGAUAGUAUCUGAAUACAGAUUGGAGUAUAAUUUUUUUGUUAGUUCCUUUUUCUAAAG